CCUCCUCCCUCCCGCACACAGGACCCCCGCUGCCCCCUAUUUUCCGUCGGCUCAGACGGGCUGGGGGCUGGAGCUGUCCCGCACUCCUCCAGCGGCUUCGCUCUGCCCCUUUAAGCGGUGCAGCUCCGCCGGAUCCUCCAGAAGCUCCGCAGCAGCAACGCGGCAGUAGGAGAAUGAGGCAGCCGGGCUAGGCGAGCCUGAACCGGGAUCAUGGCGGCUCCGCUCGGCCGGGAUACGCUACCGGAGCACUGGUCGUACGGAGUGUGCAGAGAUGGCAGGGUCUUCUUUAUUAACGAUAAAACUCGCAGCACUACCUGGCUCCAUCCCCGCACCGGAGAACCGGUGAACUCCGGACACAUGAUCCGCUCAGAUCUACCCCGAGGAUGGGAGGAGGGUUUCACAGAUGAAGGUGCCAGCAUCUUCAUAAACCACAACCAGAGGACCACAGCAUUCCGGCACCCUGUGACAGGACAGAUAUCUGCAGAAAACUCGGACUUCAUAUUGCAGGAACAAGCCACUAGCCGCAUGUCCAAGCCGCCGCCAGAGCCCGGGCCUCCCAGCAUGGUCAGCGAGACGUUAACCGCGGGCACCACUACCACUGUGGACACCACCUCAGGACUAAAGAGCUUGAAAGCCGGUGGGAAGGUGCACAGCUUUGGGAAGAGGGAUCACUCCAUUAAGAGGAACCCGAACGUGCCGGUCGUGGUGAGAGGAUGGCUCUACAAACAGGACAGCUCGGGGAUGAGGCUGUGGAAGCGCAAGUGGUUCGUGUUGUCGGAUUACUGCCUCUUUUAUUAUAAAGACAGCCGAGAGGAGACGGUCCUGGGCAGCAUUCCUCUGCCCAGCUACGUCAUCGCCCCGGUGGAGCCUGAAGACCACAUCAGUCGCAAAUACGCUUUUAAGGCCAGCCACACGGGCAUGCGCUCGUACAUUUACAGUAAGAACUCUGUGAUUGGCUCGCAGGCUGAGCACGGGGGCAUGAGGACCUACUUCUUCAGCGCCGACACGCAGGAGGACAUGAAUGGCUGGAUCCGUGCCAUGAACCAGGCAGCGCUGAUGCAGAGCCACGGCUUGAAGAGAGACGUUUCGAAGGCCGAGCAGCAGGCCAUGCCCCAGAACAACCACGUUCUCAGCAGCAGCAAAAGCUCCUCCCAGGCGGAGGGUCUUCACCAGCCCGUGUGGAGCGAGGUGUCGGACGGGGAAGUUCUGAGGCAGGAGAGGGAGGUGGAGGUGCGUCAUGUUUACAGUAAGGACGGUCCCGUAGCGCAGGUCAAGGCCUCCUUCACGGACGCAGACGGGCUUUCUCCAGAAUCCGGAGCCCCGUCCCGAGCCUCGUCCGCUCAGCCCUCGCAGAGGAACGGCCUGCACCCCGACCAGAACGGGAACGUGGUGUAUAAGAGGGGGCUGGUGCCGCGCAGCGAUACAGAGAAACACGUGCAGAGGAAGACGGCGCUGGCCCAGGUGGAGUACUGGGUCAAGGCCCAGAAAGGAGAUCCUAAAAGCCAUCCUCCCUCAGAGUAUACUCUCCCCAGACGGACUCCUCCUCCACAGCCCAAGCUGACGGUGAUGGAGGCCUACCAGUCGUUGCCAAAGACAGGCCGGCGCCCGUCAGCACCCAGCGCCUCGCCCCCGGUGACCCGAAACCUGCCCAGCGACUACAAGUACGCCCACGACCGCCUCAGCCACUUCCGCAUGUCCACCGACGAGCGCAUGGCCAACAAGGAGGGCAUGGUGUGGCAGCUGUACGAGUGGCAGCAGAGGCAGCAGUUCCGGCACGGCAGCCCCACCGCGCCCGUCUUCACCGCGCCGGACUACAUGGACACGGCCGCCGCCUUCAGAGUCACGCUGGAGGUCCCGCGCUCUAUAUCCGUCCCCCCGUCCCCCUGCGACAUCCCCCCGCCCGGACACCCCUCCAAACUGCUCUCGCCCCGCCGGCCCCACACCCCCGCCGACCGGGUCACCGUACGCCCUCUGGACGAGAUCUCAUCACUGGGGGACACACCUGUACCUGGCUCUCCCAGACGCUUCAUUUCUAAGACGGCUCAGAUGGAGAGGAGAUCCAUGCCGACCAUGGGCUACAUUACACACACCGUCAGCGCUCCCAGCUUACACGGGAAAACGCCGGAGGAGCUGACGCUGCUCCUCAUCCAGCUCAGGAGACACCAGGCCAAGAUGGCCAGCGUCCGCAGCGACGCGUUCGCUUACCUGCAGAACCAGCACAACGGCCUCUCAGGCCCCAGCCUGCAGGCAGAUGACACUUACAUGCAGCUGAAGAAGGACCUGGAGUAUCUGGACCUGAAGGUCACGGGACGCGACGUACUGAAGGACAGACCCCCCCAACCCGUCAAAAUAGCCGAAAGCGACGUCGACGUGAAACUGAGCAGAUUAUGUGAACAAGAUAAAAUCCUUCAGGAGCUGGAGGCCAGGAUCCGCACGCUCAAAGAGGACAAGGACAAGCUGGAGUCGGUUCUGGACGUGUCCCAUCAGCAGAUGGAGCAGUACCGGGACCAGCCGUCCCACGCAGAGAAGAUCGCCUACCAGCAGAGGCUGCUGCAGGAGGACGUGGUGCACAUCCGUGCGGAGAUUUCACAAGCGUCCACGGAGAUGGAGAACGCGUGGAAUGAGUACAGCAGACUGGAGGUGGAUGUGGAGCGUCUUCGCUCGGCUCUUCAGGAGCAGAUGAGCCGCACUAUCCUCUCGCAGCACGAGAAAGCUCAGCUGAGGAAGGAGCUGUGGAGGAUCGAGGACGUGAUGGCGGGUCUGAGCUCCAGCAAAGCCAACUACAAAGUGACCAUCGACUCUGUGCAGAACCCAGGUGAGCGCGGGGCCGCCCCCGCCGUCACCCCCAUCACCCCCACGCACGGGAGUCACGAGCGAGAGAGGAAACUCUGCAACACAGAGUUUCCUUCGGCGUUGUCUCCAUCAGUGCCUUCUCUCUCAGUGGGGGAGCUGAAAGGGGCUCAGGCCGGCCCCUACCUCAGCCCAGCACAGCCCGGUUUAGGGCCCAGUUCUCAACCCAGUUCACAGCCUGGCCUACAGACCUUCAGCCUGUCUCAGACUCUGCACGCGCAGAAAUGGGCUGAAGAAGAUGCUCCUCCCAGGCCUCCACUACCCCACCUCUACAGUCCGGAUGAGCACCCCCCAGCCGUGCCACCCCUGCCCAAGGAGACGUCCGUCAUUCGCCACACGUCCGUCCGCGGCCUCAAGCGCCAGUCAGACGAACGCAAGCGCGACCGAGAGGUCAGCCACUUCCCGCUGCCCCAGAACGGAGACAACAAGGUGGAAUUGCGGACGUUUCUUAGUGAACCCGAGCUGCUGGGAGUCGGAGGGCAGAUGGGCGGUUCAAGCCAUGAUGGGGGCUAUCAGACUUUACCAAGCAGAGGUCUGGCAGGCUCUUCUUCCAGGCUCAACCAGUCCACGAGCAUCUCAUCAUACGUCACCCUCAGGAGAGGAGCCACCAUGUCCAGCUUGAGGGACAGACCAAAGAGUGCCUUGGAGAGGCUGUACUCGGGGGAGCCGGUACACCAGCGGGGUCGUAUGAGUGCCGAGGAGCAGCUGGAGAGGAUGAAGCGCCACCAGAAGGCUCUGGUCCGCGAGCGGAAGCGAACCCUCAGCCAGGGCGAGCGUCAGGCCUCGUCCUUCCGCACCACCUCCUCCUCCUCCUCACGGCCCGUCUCUGCAGACCUGGGAUCAUGGAGGCGCGAGCAGGAGUUUGAUUUGCAGCUCCUGGAGCGGGCGGUGCAGGGCGAGGAGAAACCACCCGAGCACAAGGAGAGACAGCGCUCGCAUUCGGACGAGUGGCUCACCCUGCAGUCCACCCCCCUCCGAGAGCUCGACCUGGACCCCCUGGACUAUCAGCUGGACCUCAGCAGAGAGCUGUCUAAGCCCGAGAAGGUGAUCAUCCCUGAACGCUACCUGGACUUUGAGCCAGAGGAGCCGCUCAGCCCUCAGGAGAUGGAGGCACGACACCGCAAAGUGGAGCGCAUUAAGAGCAUCCUCGCCAAGUCAAGUGUGCAGAACAUUCCUCCAGCUGUUACGGUGGAUAAGCCGCUGCUGCCAGACCUGGACUCAGCACUUCACGAGCAGGAGAGGAUCAUCACCAUGUCGUACGCUCUGGCCUCCGAGGCCUCUCUGAAGAGCAAGCAGGUGGCAGCUUCUCCACAGGAUAACAGUCCCACAAUGCUCCCUCCACCUCCUCCUCCUCCUCCUCCACCUCCUCCUCUUCCUCCUACCACGCCUCCUGCUGCUCUCACUGUCUCCUGCUCUUCCUCCUCCUCCUCCUCUUCCUCCUCACAGCCGCCUCCCCCUCCCCUGAGCAAUGGAAUUCACUACACCUUUGUCUAAUCAAAGAAAGCAGAAAGAGAGGGAGGGUGGAGAGUGUUUACCUGUCGACUAUGUAGUAAAGCCAAAGCUGUGUCCGGUCAUUGAGGUGCUAUCACACGCCGAAAAAACUCACGCCUGGCGUUCCUAAACUCUACAGCUGGAGCUCAUCCAUCGCCAUCCAUCCUCUGAUCCUCUGAUCUCCUGCAUUCUAGAUGACAAUGAGCGCACUUUCGGACUUUUGGCAUUCAUAUCAGCGGACAAGGUGCACUUCACUUCAGAGACGCGUGGGGUUUUUGUACAGCUACACUAAAACAAUAUGGAUAUUUUCUAUAGGUCACGAGCCUUUUUGCUGUGGAAACUGCUGUGCACAUACUAAAAAAAAUACGAAUACGUCUAACAGACCUAACCGAGUGGUAGAAAAAGUUAUUUUUUACACAUUAUUGCACUUUUAACAUGCACUGUAUCAUAGAGCAAAUACGAAACUCAUUUUAAAACAUGUCAAAGCUCGUAGUGUACGGCGAGAAGAGCGUGGAGAGAAGAGCUGAAUAAAGGUAGCUGAAUAAAAAGAGAGGAGGACAAAAAACAUGAAGUAUUAAACAUGAAAAAUAAUACUGAAAUAAUAAAGUAAUAAAGACGAUAGGUUAGCUG
RNA transcript from Astyanax mexicanus (Mexican tetra), 4971 nucleotides. It is a transcript of the gene named pleckstrin homology domain containing, family A member 7b, with no coding region annotated. The transcript has 30 exons. The record is from RefSeq and is a predicted model, not a curated record. NCBI's taxonomy places the organism in Eukaryota, Metazoa, Chordata, Actinopteri, Characiformes, Acestrorhamphidae.